Molecule: long non-coding RNA, 658 nt
Filed under: Homo sapiens (human)
Lineage: Eukaryota; Metazoa; Chordata; Mammalia; Primates; Hominidae
Description: HSALNT0335912
Source: RNAcentral
AGUAUGAGAUCUGGAGGGGAGAAACGUCCAAACUCUAUCAGAUAUGCCAUCUAGGGGGUGUGAGAAAACACAUAUGAACCUGUGUUUUCCUUGAGACCCUCUUUCCAGACACUGCAUGGUUAGAAGCUCCAGUCCAGCACAUGCCAACAUGAAAGAACUGCUGCUCAAAAUUCUGCCUUUGGAAAAUGUUCUGCAGGGAAGGAGCAGCCAUUGGAACUGUGGGGGCAAUUUUCCUUAUGUGAGAAACGGGGUUAAACUGAGAGUUUGGAAGAUCUUCUGAAACUGACUAUAUAACUCCUGGGUUCUAAUAGAAAGGAUUAAAAAAAUGGAUCUAAGUUAUGCAAGAAGAAAGAGGCAAAAAACAGAAUGACAUAAUAAAAAUCAACUGAUUAGCCAUAAGAUAAUGGUAUAUGUGUGAAUUAGGCUGAAGAGUGAAAACAUCAAAAAGAAAUAUGACAAUUCAGAAUUGAGGAAGGGAAGAAAAAAUCUUUAUUGUCACAGUAUCUGUUCUGCUUAGCAAAAUCUUGAUCUAUUUCUUUCUACUGUACUUUAGGUUUAAUCUGUAAAUCUUGGCUGCUUUCUGAGGAAAUGAAACAUACAGAUCAUUUUAUACAGUUCUACUUAAAAUAUUGUUUUAUCUGGAUAAAUCACACUACUA